Camelina sativa (false flax) is the source of this 397-nucleotide long non-coding RNA. RefSeq lists it as uncharacterized. Lineage: Eukaryota; Viridiplantae; Streptophyta; Magnoliopsida; Brassicales; Brassicaceae. The record is from RefSeq and is a predicted model, not a curated record.
CCUCACCUCAUCACGUCCUCUUCACCACUCCCCACUCCGAUCCCACCACCGGAAAAUUCGAUUGCUUCCUCUCUCUUGUUUUGCAUUUGGCAGUCUCAAUGGGAGAUUUAUACACAUGACUGAAGAUCAUCAAGUGAUUAGCUUGCCCGAGAGAAAAUGAUUCCAAGAUGCAGGACUAUCAUUGAGAGAUGGAGAGAAUCGGAUCUUUCGUAUAAACCUUGCAAAGAUGCUUGAAGACAAAUUUCCAAAGCAGCAAGAUGGCUGUUUAAGUGCAGAGACAUAUAUAUGUCUGUGCAUAUCGAUCAAUCUAGUAAAGAUGUAUUUGCUCAAUUGACUAGGUAACAUACACGUAAUAAGUUUGUCCCUUGUUCUCAUUCUUUUUUGCUUAUUCUAAUAA